GAACGCUUCUUAAGGUUUCGGCCUUGAGGGGAGUGGCGCACGGGUGAGUAGCGCGUGGGAACCUGCCCUGUUGUGGGGGAUAACCGCGGGAAACUGCGGCUAAUACCGCAUACGCCCGGUGAGUGAUCAUCGGGGAAAGAUUUAUCGCUUCAGGAGGGGCCCGCGUCGGAUUAGCUAGUUGGUGGGGUAACGGCCCACCAAGGCUUUGAUCCGUAGCUGGUCUGAGAGGAUGAUCAGCCACACUGGGACUGAGACACGGCCCAGACUCCUACGGGAGGCAGCAGUGGGGAAUAUUGGACAAUGGGCGCAAGCCUGAUCCAGCAAUGCCGCGUGAGUGAUGAAGGCCUUACGGGUUGUAAAGCUCUUUCGCCCGCGACGAUGAUGACGGUAUUGGGAGAAGAAGCCCCGGCUAACUUCGUGCCAGCAGCCGCGGUAAU
This 437-nucleotide ribosomal RNA is filed under the name uncultured bacterium. RNAcentral describes it as "bacterial SSU rRNA". It matches the Rfam family "Bacterial small subunit ribosomal RNA", at positions 64 to 524 of the family's 1533-position model. The record is from RNAcentral.